GGCGUGGUAGCGCUGGGAGCGCGUCUGCAUACGAUAGAGUUGAUCGAUAAGGAUUAGCAGAAGGAGCUCGUUCGACUCGAGCCCACGCCA
Mycena latifolia is the source of this 90-nucleotide non-coding RNA. The record is from the annotation of a GenBank genome assembly. Lineage: Eukaryota; Fungi; Basidiomycota; Agaricomycetes; Agaricales; Mycenaceae.